GGGGAUUUAGCUCAGUGGCAGUGUGUCUGCCUCACAAGCACAAGUCAUGAGUUCAAUCCCCA
RNAcentral lists this transfer RNA (62 nucleotides) under Fukomys damarensis (Damara mole-rat). It matches the Rfam family "tRNA", at positions 1 to 62 of the family's 71-position model. Rfam says of the family: Transfer RNA (tRNA) molecules are approximately 80 nucleotides in length. Their secondary structure includes four short double-helical elements and three loops (D, anti-codon, and T loops). Further hydrogen bonds mediate the characteristic L-shaped molecular structure. tRNAs have two regions of fundamental functional importance: the anti-codon, which is responsible for specific mRNA codon recognition, and the 3' end, to which the tRNAs corresponding amino acid is attached (by aminoacyl-tRNA synthetases). tRNAs cope with the degeneracy of the genetic code in two manners: having more than one tRNA (with a specific anti-codon) for a particular amino acid; and 'wobble' base-pairing, i.e. permitting non-standard base-pairing at the 3rd anti-codon position. The record is from Rfam by way of RNAcentral. Lineage: Eukaryota; Metazoa; Chordata; Mammalia; Rodentia; Bathyergidae.